UACGGAGGGUGCGAGCGUUGUCCGGAAUCACUGGGCGUAAAGGGCGCGUAGGCGGCAUGCCAAGCGUGUGGUGAAAGCCCGGGGCUCAACCCCGGGUCGGCCGUGCGGACUGGCGUGCUCGAGCACUGUAGGGGCGGGUGGAAUUCCGGGUGUAGCGGUGGAAUGCGUAGAGAUCCGGAAGAACACCGGUGGCGAAGGCGGCGACCUGGGUAGAUACUGACGCUGAGGUGCGAAAGCGUGGGGAGCAAACAGG
This 253-nucleotide ribosomal RNA is filed under the name uncultured bacterium. RNAcentral's name for it is "partial 16S ribosomal RNA". It matches the Rfam family "Bacterial small subunit ribosomal RNA", at positions 524 to 776 of the family's 1533-position model. The record is from RNAcentral.